RNAcentral lists this ribosomal RNA (460 nucleotides) under uncultured bacterium. RNAcentral describes it as "partial 16S ribosomal RNA". It matches the Rfam family "Bacterial small subunit ribosomal RNA", at positions 338 to 795 of the family's 1533-position model. The record is from RNAcentral.
CCUACGGGAUGCAGCAGUGAGGAAUAUUGGUCAAUGGACGAGAGUCUGAACCAGCCAAGUAGCGUGAAGGAUGACUGCCCUAUGGGUUGUAAACUUCUUUUAUAUGGGAAUAAAACAGGGUAUGCAUACCCUCUUGUAUGUACCAUAUGAAUAAGGAUCGGCUAACUCCGUGCCAGCAGCCGCGGUAAUACGGAGGAUCCGAGCGUUAUCCGGAUUUAUUGGGUUUAAAGGGAGCGUAGGUGGAUUGUUAAGUCAGUUGUGAAAGUUUGCGGCUCAACCGUAAAAUUGCAGUUGAAACUGGCAGUCGUGAGUACAGUAGAGGUGGUCGGAAUUCGUGGUGUAGCGGUGAAAUGCUUAGAUAUCACGAAGAACUCCGAUUGCGAAGGCAGCUCACUGGACUGCAACUGACACUGAUGCUCGAAAGUGUGGGUAUCAAACAGGAUUAGAUACCCUGGUAGUC